CCCCUCCAAGAAUUUGUAAACUAGUGAUAAUCUGUAAAGUUUGAGAGGAAAAUAAUACCUAAUAAUUGCCCCUGGGUAAUCAGCCCCCCCCCCCCAAUACAAAAUUGCUUCAUAUGAUAGUGUCAGCAUACAGAACACAUGCACAGUGUAAUAAUAAUAAUAAUAUCUCGAUUACGGCAUUAAUUGCUACGAUUUAAAGAAUUACUUUGGAAAAACGUUUGGUUGAAGGUAGAAAAGUGAUGUUACAAUGCUGAUUUUGACAACAAAUUUUUUAGUUUAUUUUGAACUUCUGCAUCUCAUGAUCAUUGAUAAACAGCACAACAAAAUAAUUUGUUAUUGAUACACAGUGUAUUAGCUAGAGAUGUUACCCUUAAAAAGUACUCCUCUCUCUAAAUUAUGUUCACUUUUAACAAACGUUUUUUAGUUUCACAAACAUAAUAUAUAUUCACUUAUUUAAACAUUGAUAUUAUAUUCCUUGCUGACAUAAUGUGAGAAUGAUCCCCAAGUUUUCUCAGUUCUUUUUCAUUCUCAUACCUUGUCCUUUAUCUUCUUUUCCUUUUGCCCCCUCAUUUUCCUUUUGCCCUUUCCUUUCUUUUCCCCUUUGUUCUCUUCUUUUCUCUCUUUCUUUUCUUUUCCUUCCCUUCCUUUGUUUUUAAUCUUCUUUGAAUUUCUUCCCUGGGCC
Non-coding RNA from Paramuricea clavata, 682 nucleotides. NCBI's taxonomy places the organism in Eukaryota, Metazoa, Cnidaria, Anthozoa, Malacalcyonacea, Plexauridae. The record is from the annotation of a GenBank genome assembly.